RNAcentral lists this long non-coding RNA (1322 nucleotides) under Calidris pugnax (ruff). RNAcentral's name for it is "lncRNA (ENSCPUG00000015610.1)". Lineage: Eukaryota; Metazoa; Chordata; Aves; Charadriiformes; Scolopacidae. The record is from RNAcentral.
UUUUCUGAUCUUUGAAAAGCUGCCAAAACUAACGAAGCUGAAUUCAUCUGGGACAAAGGAGAUGCUUUUGUUUUUCUGCCUCUUUCAGCUCAGUCGAGUUUUGGAUGGCUCUUGGCUGUUGCAAUGGAAUGCAAAACACCUCCACAUCAGAUCCCUCCACAAGCCAGGUCUGGCUAUUGUAAUGACGGUGCCACCCAGAAAAUACUGGUGUUACCUUACACGGCUGCUUCUUAGCUCCUUGAAGAGUGGAACCGUGCAUGUUGGAACGAACCGUGGGGAGCCUGUGAAGGUCAGACCAGGAGGACUCUUCCUUGAAUUCUAACGAGAAAUGCUGACUCCUGCCUCAGUGUGGGCUGAAUUCCUUCCCUGUGUCCUCGUGGCUUCAUGGGCUCCUGAUGAAUUACUUGGAUGUUGAUUUUCACUAAAACUUUUAGGAAAAAGCAAAUACAUUUUUUAGUAGUCUGGAGGAAUUCCACCCAGAUCAGCAUCAGCCUUAAUUAGUCCUGCUGCUGGAACACACUCAGUCGUGGUCUCCUAAAGCACCAUUGCUCCUUCAGCCCCCCCUCACACCACUGCCCGAGGAGAGAGGAGCUGGGGAGCUCCUGCCACCGCGCACAGAGGGCUCCGGGUCACCACAGGAGCCAGAGGCACUUCAUGCUUCCCUGGAGGUGUUUAUGGCAUCCAUCCUGGGGCAGUGUGUGCAUGAGAAACAGGACCGUGUGUGUACCUGUCCUUGCUGUUAAUUACCUUCCCAUGGAGUAAAACAAAGCAGCAGAAAAUGGCCGUAGGAGGUAUUUAGACCAGCUGGAACACAAAGGUAAAGGCUUCUAAUCUGCUUUAUGAUGGAUAGUCCCAGCGGUGCCUGGGGGAGCAGGGAGCAGUUCUUUCUCUUUUUGGUUAUAAUAUGGCUAGAAAAUGUUCUGCGUGCAAACUGGCAGCGCCUCCCCACGUGCAUCCCUGGUGUGUGCCAGCCCUGAGCCACCUCCCCACGUGCAUCCCUGGUGUGUGCCAGCCCUGAGCCACCUCCCCUCGUGCAUCCCUGGUGUGUGCCAGCCCUGAGCCACCUCCCCACGUCCAUCCCUGGUGUGUGCCAGCCCUGAGCCACCUCUCGUCCCGCUGCUGUCCCCACCGAGCGGCACCGCAUCCCCUCCCUCUGGGUGUUUUCCCGAGAAAAACUCUAUGUUGCAGCUGCUUUUUUUCUUUAUCAUCCUUAAAGUUUAAUUAUUCACAACCAAUUUUGUUCUAAAGAGAUCUCUCAUGUACAUUUCAAAAAUAGAACAUGUUUAAAUGAAAGUGAAAUCUUGUUUUUAAUUUAUACAAGG